GGGUAGCCGCGGGGGGCCAGCGCGCGCGUCGCUCUCACGCGCUCUGCUCCGCCUGUCCCGCCCCGCCCCUCUUUCCCUCCCUGUGGUCCUGACACGCGCAGCGGUGUCACGCGCGAGGGGCGCUCCCGGGGUCUCGAGGACCAGAGGCUCGUCCGCGCGCUGCCCGAAGCCCCCGCGCGACCCACGCUCGUGGAGCCCGGGGUAUAUUGGUUUGAAAAGGGAACAUCACAAGCCACCCAAGAGUGAAGUCUGAUAAGAAAAAUCAGCUGGUGGAGCAGCCAUGCCCCACUUCUUGGAUUGGUUCGUGCCAGUGUAUCUGAUGAUCUCCAUUCUCAUCUUGGUGGGCUUCGGAGCUUGCAUAUACUACUUUGAGCCGGGCCUACAGGAGGCCCACAAGUGGCGGACGCAAAGGCCGAUCAUGGAACGAGAUCUUCGGAAAACACUGAUGAUACGGGAUAACCUUGCCUUUGGGGUGCCUGAGGUCUAGUAUUCUGUGUGUGGGGUGUUUCUAGAGCCAAACAGAGCCUUUUCUGGAUGGGCCCUGGCUAACAAGAUUUGGUCUGGAUGCACAUUUCUCCUUACUCAGGAGAGAAUCUUCUACUGUCUAGUGACUGAAGAAGGGUAGUUUUACUCUUUGCUGACACGGGUCUCGGUUAAUCACCAGAGUUACCUCUUUUUUCCCCCAUCAUCUUCUCCCUUUCUAAGGCAAGGUUUGUGCGCCUCUAUUAACUCAAGGCUUUCAGGUCUACCCUAGACAAGAUAUUCAUCACUCAGCAAAGGAUCUCCUGCACCACUCCAUGACCUGGAUUUUUGGAUCCACCAAAGGUAAAGGUCUCUGUUAUUCAUUAUCCAAUGGAGGAUACCUGUGCCUAUACAUUACCUUUAAAAAAAAUUCUUAUGGGCACCAGAUCAUAAUAGAUAGACUUGAUAUGGGACAUAGAUCCUUUAACUGCUAGGUCACUGGUUUAAAUCUAGCCCAAUUUGCUAGGGUCUGAAAGGUGUCAUCAUCGAAUGCCUCUUUGGUGACUUACGUAAAAUGAAUUUGGUGGGUCUCAGGCCAGUUCUUCGUGGAUAACUGCAUAUCACAGAAAUCACCAAUGCCACUGAAUUGCCACCUGUGCUGGGAGUCUCAUUAGGGAAGCCACAGAUUGAAUGAGCCAUGGAGAGUGAAUUCCCUACUCACCCCUAGAGGUGAUCUUCCCAGUUCAGGAGUGAGACACACAGGAGGGGCAAUGGGAGUAAAGAUUGCUUUAUUGGUGCCCAUGUUGUACCUGUUUCGGGGAUAGAGGACAUCAGUCUCCAGGGCUGUCAAUCUGGUACUUUUAUAGAAUCAUAGAAGAUUAGGAUUGGAAGAGACCUCAGGAGGUCAUCUAGUCCAACCCCCUGCUCAAAGCAGGACAAACUUUCAUGAGCACUAAAUUCACACACAAUUUUCAGCUAAGGAGGUCUGUGUUGAUCCUGCCAGGAAAUCUCUUGCACCUCUCCUUGCCCCAGGGCUCUGGAUUUAUCGCAUAGGCCUCAACAGAUUCAUUGGACCUUCUGCACCUGUCCAUGACCCAGGGAUCAAGGGUCCUUUAUUAUGAAUAGAUUUGCACUCGUUCAGUCCUCUGUCUACAGCAUUUUUUGAAAUGGAUCCCUUAGUGCAUCAGUUCUGGUGCUGCACCCUCUUGACUGUCAUCCACAUUGAAAACUGUGAAAUGCUCCUUGGAGAACCCUUCACUGUGAAUCUCCGGUAAGGGACGCUGAGCCAGACAGGUGGAGAUGGGGCACUACUAAUGACUGUGCUUUCUAGAUCCCACCUGUAUACCAUAUAAUGUGUAUAUGUACACUGUUUUUGCACUUUCCUCCACUCUUCCCUAGGGCUGAUUUGCUAACAAAGUACUGUAAGAAAAUGUGACUCCAUGGGAGAGUGGGAAUCCAGCACCUUUUUCUUCAUUGCGAACAAUGUGCAAAUCAUAGCAGAUAACACUGGCCCAACUCAGAGCCUAUGACUUAAGGUAUUCCACAACAGGUACUACUGUGCCACACCUGCUUAGAAAUCUAGUAAGACACUGGCUCCUGUUCCAUGGUGCUUUGUAUCUCUGCUGAUCCAUCAUGCCCCUGACUGUUUCUCACUUACUCUGCUAACAUGCCCCUGCUACCCCAUUGUCCUCAUUUCUAUACAUUAUAUAUUAUAAAACUCCACUCUUGACCAGUCACGCCCAGUUAUCUACAUUCCAUACAGUACCACUGUCGUAUGGCACCACUGUGCCAUUGUCAGUGCAUUCCAUACCAGGGCAGCAUAACCAUGGCCACCUUUUGAUAUACCCUGCUGCAUAUUUGAUGAUAUUAUUACACAGCCAUUGUUGCCCUAUCGGCCACCCUUCUGUACAUUCUAUAUCAUUGUAACACAGUCCCUGCUGCCCUACUGUGCACAUGUCUGUACAUUCCAUACCAUAUGCACACACAAAGUGUUGCUGUUUUGUACAUACUUCAGUACAUUCCAUACCAGCAGACUGCUCUUGGUGCUGGUUCAGUGCCACGUUCCCUGAUGGCUCCACUGUGCAGCAGGAGCCAUUAGACGCAAGGGUGCACACAGGCUCCUCCCCUCCUCAUGGCUGCUGGAUCAGCUCACAACAUAUAGUCCCUAGGAUGAGAGUUUUGGAGCCAGUGAUAAUUUUCACUGGAAACUGUUGACAGCUUUUUCAUCCAUUACUGAAUGAAGGAUGGAGAACAUCUUAUGUCGAUUUAAGUGGGUGACUUGUCAUUGGGGGUUGCUUGGGGAAUAACGUUUGUUAGCAGUGAUGGCUGUGGUACAAAUGGAAACUGUCCUCAACACCUGGCAAAUGUCGUUGGCCUUUAUUGGCUAUUUCAUCUGCCCAGGUCAGAUAAGGCAUCAUCACCCACACCAAGGUCCCAACUGAUGGGACCUUCUUGGGUCUGUCAAUGCGGGACAGUUGAGUCCCUACAUUCAGACUGGAACAUGGUGAUCUUGAUGCAGAUAUCAUAACAUGGGACCUGAUUCAGCAAGGUACUGAAGCAUGUGCCUAAAUGUACGCACACGAGUUAUCCUACAUGCUUCAGUACCUUGCUGAAUCAAGGCUGUGAAAGUGCAAAUGUCACAGUGCAGAUGAUUUUGUUCCUCAGUAUGAAUACAGAUAAAUGGCAGCCCUCAAUCACAUUGACAAUAUCUAUUGCCCAAAGGUCACUCAAAUUAAUAAAGCCAUAGUCUCUGAGUGUCAAUUUAGAGACCUGCUUCUUGGGCCUUGACUGUUGUAACCUGGUGGGUAGGCCACCAAUGCAAAUGGACCCCAGGUUGAGCAACGGGGUAGCAAUAAAAACCCUUUUCACUAGAGGUCGGGAGCUCAGAGAUGUCAGGGACAGGUUAAAAUAUCCCCAUAAGACUGAGGUUCCAUGUUUUGAAAAGACUCAAGAUAAGGAAAUCUCUCUCUCUCUUUCUUUCUCUAUGAAAGAAUCCCUAUUACUGUGUGUAUGGCAGUCAUCCCAAAGGUGCAGUCUGCCCUCCAGAAAUGGCUGGGAGCCAAUUCAACCACCCACUUACAGUCAAAGGUCUAACAGUUCCUAUGGAAAAGGUCAGGAAGGACCCAACCACAGAGACUGACCUCUCCUCUCCACCUCCAGCCCUGGAUGUAUGUAUGUUGUCAGGAAGUGAUGGGGAGUUUGUACUGUGCUCCAACUGUCCAUGGGCGGGGGGGUGGG
Long non-coding RNA from Trachemys scripta elegans, 3699 nucleotides. RefSeq lists it as uncharacterized. The transcript has 3 exons. The record is from RefSeq and is a predicted model, not a curated record. Lineage: Eukaryota; Metazoa; Chordata; Testudines; Emydidae.